This 433-nucleotide ribosomal RNA is filed under the name uncultured bacterium. RNAcentral describes it as "partial 16S ribosomal RNA". It matches the Rfam family "Bacterial small subunit ribosomal RNA", at positions 29 to 507 of the family's 1533-position model. The record is from RNAcentral.
AACGAACGCUGGCGGCAGGCCUAACACAUGCAAGUCGAGCGAGGACUUCGGUUCUGGCGGCGGACGGGUGAGUAACGCGUGGGAAUGUGCCCUUCUCUACGGAAUAGCCCUGGGAAACUGGGAGUAAUACCGUAUACGCCCUAUUGGGGAAAGAUUUAUCGGAGAAGGAUCAGCCCGCGUUGGAUUAGGUAGUUGGUGGGGUAAUGGCCUACCAAGCCGACGAUCCAUAGCUGGUUUGAGAGGAUGAUCAGCCACACUGGGACUGAGACACGGCCCAGACUCCUACGGGAGGCAGCAGUGGGGAAUCUUAGACAAUGGGGGCAACCCUGAUCUAGCCAUGCCGCGUGAGUGAUGAAGGCCUUAGGGUUGUAAAGCUCUUUAAGCUGGGAAGAUAAUGACGGUACCAGCAGAAGAAGCCCCGGCUAACUCCGUG